Molecule: ribosomal RNA, 232 nt
Filed under: uncultured bacterium
Lineage: Bacteria
Description: partial 16S ribosomal RNA
Rfam family: Bacterial small subunit ribosomal RNA
Source: RNAcentral
UGGGCAACCUGCCCCUCUCUCUGGGAUAACCCCGGGAAACCGGAGCUAAUACCGGAUACUCCGGCUGGAUCGCAUGGUCCGGCCGGGAAAGGUCCGCCGGAGAGGGAUGGGCCCGCGGCCUAUCAGCUUGUUGGUGGGGUAAUGGCUCAUCAAGGCGACGACGGGUAGCCGGCCUGAGAGGGUGACCGGCCACACUGGGACUGAGACACGGCCCAGACUCCUACGGGAGGCA